GAUGAACGCUGGCGGCGUGCCUAAUACAUGCAAGUCGAGCGAACGGACGAGAAGCUUGCUUCUCUGAUGUUAGCGGCGGACGGGUGAGUAACACGUGGAUAACCUACCUAUAAGACUGGGAUAACUUUGGGAAACCGGAGCUAAUACCGGAUAAUAUUUUGAACCGCAUGGUUCAAAAGUGAAAGACGGUCUUGCUGUCACUUAUAGAUGGAUCCGCGCUGCAUUAGCUAGUUGGUAAGGUAACGGCUUACCAAGGCAACGAUGCAUAGCCGACCUGAGAGGGUGAUCGGCCACACUGGAACUGAGAAACGGCCCAGACUCCUACGGGAGGCAGCAGUAGGGAAUCUUCCGCAAUGGGGGAAAGCCUGACGGAGCAACGCCGCGUGAGUGAUGAAGGUCUUCGGAUCGUAAAACUAUGUUAUUAGGGAAGAACAUAUGUGUAAGUAACUGUGCACAUCUUGACGGUACCUAAUCAGAAAGCCACGGCUAACUACGUG
RNAcentral lists this ribosomal RNA (497 nucleotides) under uncultured bacterium. RNAcentral describes it as "partial 16S ribosomal RNA". It matches the Rfam family "Bacterial small subunit ribosomal RNA", at positions 28 to 507 of the family's 1533-position model. The record is from RNAcentral.